Molecule: ribosomal RNA, 253 nt
Filed under: uncultured bacterium
Lineage: Bacteria
Description: partial 16S ribosomal RNA
Rfam family: Bacterial small subunit ribosomal RNA
Source: RNAcentral
UACAGAGGGGGCAAGCGUUGUUCGGAAUUACUGGGCGUAAAGGGCGCGUAGGUGGCCUUCUAAGUUGAACGUGAAAUCCCUGGGCUCAACCCCGGAACUGCGUCCAAGACUGGGAGGCUUGAAUCCGGGAGAGGGAUGCGGAAUUCCAGGUGUAGCGGUGAAAUGCGUAGAUAUCUGGAGGAACACCGGUGGCGAAGGCGGCAUCCUGGACCGGUAUUGACACUGAGGCGCGAAAGCCAGGGGAGCAAACGGG